GCACCAGUGGUCUAGUGGUGGAAUUGUACCUUGCCAUGGUAUAGACCCGGGUUCGAUUACCCGCUGGUGCA
Brassica oleracea var. oleracea is the source of this 71-nucleotide transfer RNA. It matches the Rfam family "tRNA". Rfam says of the family: Transfer RNA (tRNA) molecules are approximately 80 nucleotides in length. The record is from Rfam. Lineage: Eukaryota; Viridiplantae; Streptophyta; Magnoliopsida; Brassicales; Brassicaceae.